Long non-coding RNA from Cucurbita moschata (crookneck pumpkin), 722 nucleotides. RefSeq lists it as uncharacterized. The record is from RefSeq and is a predicted model, not a curated record. The transcript has 2 exons. Lineage: Eukaryota; Viridiplantae; Streptophyta; Magnoliopsida; Cucurbitales; Cucurbitaceae.
UCCUACUUCUUCAUAAUCCAAAAACCCUAAUUCCGUAGUACAUAGCCGUCUUUCCAGCUUCCAAAGCCGCUUAAAUUUUCUUGCAGUUCCUCUGGUUUUCAAUUCGUUCUUUACUCUUUCAUGUCGAUGUUGAGAUCUUUUAGGCCAAAUUACUGCGUUCUCGAACAGAGUUCGAAACUUUUUUCUUACGAUUUCUGCAAUUGGCAUUGAGUUCGGAUUUGGAAGAGGCCAUAUGACGAACUUUCGAAUGUAUGUUUUCCGAGGGUUCUGGUGACAUUUUCUUCUUCUGGAUGAUGAGAUAACAUGAAAUUACAGUUAUCCCUGGCUGAUUCGAAGUGCUGAUAUUUCUUAUACUCUGACAGUACUGAUUUUUGGAUUGAAUGGUUUCUUUAUUUUUUCAUCGACUUUUUCGUUUUUUUUUUCUUACUUUCUUGAUCUCUCUAUUUUCUCUUAGGUGUGGCCAGUGAUGAUGAGUUUUUUUUUUGGUUCACUGAGAUGCAAAAAUGUUGCAUUGGUGUUGAAGCUUUUUUGAACUAGGACGGUCUGAGGCUAUCACCUUUCUGCUUUGCCUUUGUUUAUAUGCUAUGAAGCUUAAUAUCAGUUUUUCAUCAAAUCUUCUUUUUUUGUGUGUGGAAUUUUCGUCUUUUUCAUUGCAUGUGGGAGUGGAUGAUUUUCAGGGGUUAUGGAGAAUUUUGAAUAAUUUUGGGUUCUUAAUUCUAGUU